RNAcentral lists this ribosomal RNA (114 nucleotides) under Castor canadensis (American beaver). Lineage: Eukaryota; Metazoa; Chordata; Mammalia; Rodentia; Castoridae. The record is from RNAcentral.
UCAUUGAGCCAAACCACCCUGAAUGCACCUGAUCUCAUCUGAUCUCUGAAGCUAAGUCGGGCCUGGUUAGUGCUUGGAUGGGAGAAGGGGACCUUUGAGUCUGAGCUGAGAGAG